Molecule: RNA transcript, 6594 nt
Organism: Falco peregrinus (peregrine falcon)
Lineage: Eukaryota; Metazoa; Chordata; Aves; Falconiformes; Falconidae
Gene: EPHX1
Gene name: epoxide hydrolase 1
Exons: 11
Source: RefSeq, a predicted model, not a curated record
GCACCCAAUAUUCUUUGGGCAAAGGGACAGCUUGAGCAGGCUGGGGUGGCUGGGCAGAAGAGGUUGCAAGAUGUGAAAGGAAUGGUUAUCUGUGAUCACGAGUCUCUGUUGAGACUUCUCUUCAACAAUCCAAACGAGAGAAUUGAGAUGGUGUGGAGGUGACGAAAAAAGUAAGACUGGAACUUGGGGGUGAAGAGAUCGAUGACUGAGUUCAAAUGGAAAAACCUCAAAGAGCUGAUAAAGAAUGCAUUAUGCUGCUCGAAGUGUUCCUGGUUCUGGGGACAGUCAUCAUCUACUUAUUACUUUCCAAGAAGAAAGAAGAGACAUUACCCUUCAAAGACGGAUGGUGGGGCAAGGGACCAAAGCCUGACACUGAAGAAGAUAGAACUAUUUGGCCAUUUAAGGUGGAAACUACAGAAGGAGAGCUGAGCGACUUAUUUAGGAGACUUGACCAGGCUCGACUGACUGAGCCACUCGAGAACAGCUGUUUCCAUUAUGGGACUAACUCGGUGUAUCUCAGGAAGGUUGUCUCCUACUGGAAAAAUGAGUUCAAUUGGAAGAAACAAGUGGAAAUCCUCAACAAGUACCCACAGUUCAAAACUAAGAUUCAAGGCAUUGAUAUCCAUUUUGUUCACGUAAAGCCUCCUUGUUUGCCUGAAGGCCAGUCUGCAAAGCCAUUAUUAAUGGUUCAUGGUUGGCCUGGCUCAUUUUACGAAUUUUACAAAAUUAUCCCUCUCCUGACGGAUCCUGCAAGCCAUGGCCUCAGUGAUGAGCACAUUUUUGAAGUCAUUUGCCCAUCUAUCCCCGGUUAUGGUUUCUCAGAAGCACCUCACAAAAAAGACUUUAAUUCUGUAAGUGCCGCUUCUGUUUUUUACGAAUUGAUGCUCAGACUGGGAUUCAACGAGUUCUAUGCACAAGGUGGCGACUGGGGCUGGCUCAUCUGCACCAAUCUGGCCCAGAUUGCUCCCACCCAUAUGAAAGGUCUCCAUUUAAAUCUAGCCUCAGUCACGAACGUGGGUUUCACUCACCUGCUCUCCAUUCUGCUGGGCUGCUAUCUUCCGAGGCUUUUCGGUUUCCAGGAUGAAGAUGUGAGGCGGAUGUUUCCCUUCUUGAAAAAAGGGCUCUACAGGAUCUUGCUGGAGUCUGGCUACGCUCACAUACAGGCUACAAAGCCUGAUACUGUUGGCUGUGGUUUGAACGACUCUCCUGUAGGACUGGCUGCAUACAUCUUGGAGAAGUUUUCUACAUGGACUGAUCUGGAAUUCCAGAAUUUAGAGGAUGGAGGACUAGAAAGGAAGUUUAACCUGGAUGAUCUGCUCACCAAUAUCAUGAUCUACUGGGUGUCAGGCUGUAUAGUCUCCUCAAUGCGUUUCUACAAAGAAAAUUUGAAGAAGGGGAUAGGCACACAGAAACAUGAAAGGCUCACAGUACAAGUACCUACUGGCAUUGCCUCCUUCCCUAAUGAAGUCAUGCACACGCCCCAGGCUUGGGCCCAGAAGAAAUACACCAACAUAGUUUCCUUCCAUUUCAUGCCUCGAGGUGGCCACUUCGCAGCUUUGGAGGAACCUGAACUUCUUGCUGAAGAUAUUUUGCAAUUUGUUGGGAAAGUAGAGAAAGAGCAACUUUGGAGAAAGAAAGAAUAACUCCCCUAACAAACAGCAAGCAAUGGUUCAAACCAGUGCAGGUGAUGAGCGCAGAGGGAGUACGGCACAGAGAACAGGGGAACGGAAACACGGGACGCCAGAACUAGACUCAACUACCCAGCUACCAACCAACCAACGUGACAAACUUCACCGUACGUGAAGACUGACUCACGACUGUCUCAACAGCACAAAAGAGGUGCAAGGAGGGAAACCAGCUGCUUCACCUUGCCCGUGCUGCCUGCCCCAGCAGCCACAAGGGGCCCAGCCUGCUGCCCGCAGCCCCCCCCCCCGCAGAGCCCUCCGCAGGCAAGGCUGAGCCAGGGGCGCUGGUUGCAUCUGCAGUGGCUGCAGCCUGCUCUGGGCCCAGGGAAAUGUGAAACUGCACCCUCAGCUCAGAAAUUCCUGCCCCCACUGGUAUCCCACAUCCAAUGUGAAACCAGCUUUUGCCCAUCCUGCUGAUACUGGCUUCCCGGCAAACACUCCAUCCUUCCUUCUCGGCACCACCCACCUGCUGUUGCUUCAUUCCCAGUUGUCCACUGCACAAGAGCCCACGGGUAUGUCCCACCCCGAGCUGUUCAGUCCCACCCAUUCCCACCUGAAUAUCACGUGCAGAUCUACUAGAGAGCGUGCCAGGAUAUCAGAUCUUGCAACUGCUGUCCUUGUGACUUCUCGGAAAAAGCUAUCUUACUGCAACAUCUACAUCUACCCAUCAGUUUACAGCCUCAAGUGCUUUAAGGCCCCAAAAUGACACUAUCGUAUCUGUGUUAUAUCCCGUGUGUCACGUAUCUAUCACAUCUCAGGGAAACGGUAAGAUGGGCUGAAGACCACCAGCUUUGUAUCAGUAGACAUUUCCAAACCAGACUGUAGUGGAAAGAGAUCUCCAUCCAGAACUGAAGCUGGACACAUAUCUGGCUUGUUAAGCUAGUGAAAUUCUUAUUUAACACACAGAGUAUUACUUUCCACUAGCCAUAAAAGUUGGUCUUAAGGUGGGACUUUUAAAAUCCAUUCAAGAGAGAAGAUCCAAUACACAUUACACCUGAACUCACCUAGGAAGGCAGGAAACAAGGUGCUACAGAAGGGAACAAACCCUCCCCCAGGAAAGCAACGUUUGCCUUCAACCAGGAGUCCAGCCACCCCGUAACGGAGACCGCAGGCUCCCUGCUGGAAGAGACUGGUAGCAGAGGCACACCAAGUAGGGAGCAGCAGCUUUGUAUACUACCCCAGUUAAUUCAUGGGGCCACAUCAGCCGUUUCAUCGUAAGAAUUAAAAGCUAAUUAUGGUACAUGCAACAGAAAAGACAGCUGUUCUUGAUCCACGUUCUCUCCAAGCAACAAAUGCUUACAGACUGCUGAUAAAGAACAAGUGAAGAUAACACUGGAGCUCUGCGUCCGAGCACACAAAAACUGGGAAGUUGCACUUGCUGCAGCUGGAGAUGCUACAGCCUAACCAAUAGGAUGUCUGAUACCAAGCAAGAGCCAGAAGUUAACCCAAGAACUGAAAAAUUAAAAGGGAAGCAUGUUCUGUUUUAAUGACCCAGUCUUCUGUGUCUCUACAUUUAGUCAUUUCCUUUCUGCUUUGAUCUGCCAGACAGCUGUCCUCAGAAAGAACGAACAACUUCUGUACCUCUGAAAUCUCUGAAACAGGCACUUGCAGCUGUUACAGACAGGUGACAAGCAGAACCAUUCAAGAAGUCUUGUCCAGAUUAGACAGAGAAGGAAUUUGCAAGAUGACUUUAAAAAGACACACGUCCUCUUUGCAAGUUAUGACCCUGGCCAUCAUUUGGAAUUAAAAGUAUGUAUUUCCUUGCAUUGUUGCAGUUUGGAGACAACAAAGCGUGUCUUUUCGUUGUACUCAAGGGACUUGGGUUUGUGUUAGUGACAGAAAAAGACCCCUCAGCCCCACAUCUUCCUGGGCCUCUUACCUCACUUUCGCCAAGAGCCAGGAGAACAACGCUGUGGUCUGCUGCUUCUAGGACAAGCCCACCUUCUUCAAAUGCAUAAAAGUGAAAGGCUUCCAAACACUAAUAAAUGUGUAUCUCUGUAUCACACACGAGAAAUGCUAACAGCUGGAAGCUGUGUGGGUAAGCACAGUGGGGAACUGGAUUUCUGUAAGACAGAAAGAACGUGGUCCAGUGCUACACUGAAGCAUUUACAAACUUGGCCAGCGGUGAGAUCUGCUUUGGCUCAGGACUCACACGGGAAAAGCCCAAAGGAAAACAAAGCGUGAAUGUGUGUGCCUGAUACAAAUGAGAAAUCAGUUGGGUGUUGAGGAUGUGUUGUAAUAGGGCAGGAGGUAAAACGGAUUGGGCAUAGAAUAAGCUCUAACUGGCACAGAGCUAGGUCUAUCUAAACAAGCCAGGUUUGGGGAGGUUGGGUGGGGUUUUUUGGUUGGGCUUUUUUUUUCUUGUUGUCUCAGCAUACCAUAUAGCAUUUUCUUCACCGUAGGAGAAAACAAUGUAUAGUGAAGUCUUUGCAGAAGUGUAUGAAAUUGUACAAUAUCGAAUGGGCGCUGUUCUUUGACUUUUCCGAGGUUGUCCCCUCGGAUGAGUCAGAGAAUCCCGUCACAGACCGCGCUGCAGGGCUUACUCAUGCCCGAGUGUCAGACUUGUCCAGGAUUCACGUUCCACCAAAGCACUGCUGGUGGCGGCUGCUAGAAUGCAAGCAAGGACCUAGCAAAGAGCGAGGUGGGGAGGAGGAGUUGUUCCAACUGAGCAAUGCAAGGCAAGCAGCAGGCGCUGGAUCUCAACAAAUAUGGCUUCUGGGAGCUACAAUCAGUAACUCCAGCUGGGCCAUUUGCUUAGGCUUCCUGCCAGAAGAUUUAUAAAAAGAACAGUAAAGAAUGUGCAAUGACUUUAAAUAUGAAUUUCAAAUACAGUGUAGCCAAUAUCCACAUUUGUUGAGGCUUCCAUCCCCCAGCUUUUCUCUAAGGCUCAGCGAGGAAUGCAAGGAGUUUCUCCCGCUGAUCUAAUUUUAUCCUCUCAGAGAUAUCCACCAGCAUGAAGGAAUGAAUUAGAGCCAGUGCCGUUUCCUAAUUACUUCCAGCUCUCAGAGACAGACCCAAAAGAUACUAGGGCAGCAAGCACAACAUAGCAAAGCUGAUAAACCAGCUUUUAAUUGGUGUGUGGCUAUAUAUGGAGGUCUUGCGACAUUUUCCUAAUGGGUGAUUCCAGCCUCUACUCAAACUAGUGCAUGUCCUAGUAUCAGACAUUUCUACGAGUUUAACUGCAACAAAGGACAGCAGCAAACGAGAACAGCUGCCACAUAAGUGAAAUAUGCAGGUGGUUUCCCCAUUAGACAUACGAAGUGGUUCCUCAAAUGCCAGCAAUGGCUAUGUAGCAAGGUGCAACUUUCCAUUACCUGCCAGGUUUUCCAUAUUCUGUAUCUGAAGCACGUUGGCAUGACUGGAGGGGCGUUUAUUGAAGAGCUGGCCCUAUCUGUAACGAACCUGUGCCAGCCACAAGGAGCUUCAUUACCAAGGUUCGGCAGCCUUCCCAGCACAAAAAGGAAAUCCAAUCACCAAGAGGUUUUGUCUUUGAGAUAUCAACAUACAGAACCUCACAGUGAAUACCCAAAGUCACUCACUCAAAAAUGUUACACCACAGAGCAUAAAAAUUCUGCAGUGCCAACCACUAUAAGCAGCUCAGGUGUGGUGGUAGCUGAAUCAUUUGAUUCCUCAAUUAGUAUACGUAAGUGUCCACUAUUUCUGCAGAAAACUGUACAAGGUGGGGUACAGCAGCGAGAAAUGAGUUAGAACGAUCAUAGACUUCUGAUCCAAUUAAUACAACAGGCUCCACCUCCUCCCCUUGUCCUCACAUCCACGUGAGACCCUCAGGAGAGAGUAUAAACUGUGGAGUCUGCUGGGUGUUGUUUUCUCUUGGUUUGAAUAGCAAUCUUAAAUGGCAGUUUGUAUUCAGUGUACGCACCUAGUAAUAUUUUUUUUUUUUAGAGUACAACUCUAGUAAUACCAUGAUUACUAAAAAAAUUACAAUGUACAUACCACCUCUAGUAAUACCACAAUUGCUAAAAUCAAAAUACUUCCCCCCCCCCCCCCCGCCCCAACCCUCUGACUAAACCGUAACACUGAUGCGAUAGUAUAAAAGAAGCCUGACACAAAUCCAUGCCCCCCCACUAGACAAGGCUCCUCACUUGCCUCCUAAGAGCCAGGAGUUAGGUGCACUUCCAGCCAACAGGACAGGCUCCUCCUCGGGGUUAUCAGAGCGCUGCAGGCUCCUUCACGCAGCGGGGCAGGUCUCCCACUCAACGUUCUUCCAGAGUGCUGGUCUUAGGAAGCUGGACGCAGGCCUGCAAGACACUGAACAUCUGCACACACUUUUUUAUGGCGCAAAUUCUACUCCAGUCCCAAGAUGUUGCUGCUUCACAGACAUGCUAGAAACAGCCAAAAAUCAGGAAUUAACAAUUUAACUACUAACAGGCAAACAGAGGGCUUGGGAGGGCCAAAACCUUCCCUACCCAAAGUUCACCAAGAUUCAUCCCCUAGGGAAAUAUACAAGUAUUCAAAUCUCUUGUGGGAUGUACUGUCAUUCCAAGCCUCAUGGCAGUGCUCUUAUGAACAGCUCAUGACACUGACCAUGCUGUGAGGCAGCUAGCAAAGGAACUGUUUCAAUAUAAAGAAAAAAAUAAAAUCAAUCAAGACAGCCCAAAAUUUCUCCAAACUCAGUGUUUUAUUGCUUCAUGAUCAUUAGUUACACUUUGACAUGAUGUACCUUUGAAUAAAUUGGCACCUACUACAGAAUUUAAAAACUUAACUAUCUUACAGCUCAUAUCAUCUGUAGAGAAAACCCAGAGAUCUGGCGUUUUGACCCAAGAUUAAAAGAAAGAUAAAAUGUUUGUAUCCUUUAUUGUUGGCAGGUGAACUUUCAUUGUGGAAGGCCCUUAAAAAUAGUGAACAGAAACUAGCAACCUAUAAACGCCCUCCAAAAAAUAUAUAAAAA